CCUACGGGUGGCAGCAGUGAGGAAUAUUGGUCAAUGGGCGUGAGCCUGAACCAGCCAAGUCGCGUGAGGGAUGACGGUCCUAUGGAUUGUAAACCUCUUUUGUCGGGGAGCAAAAGACGCCACGCGUGGCGUUCCGUGAGUACCUGAUGAAAAAGCAUCGGCUAACUCCGUGCCAGCAGCCGCGGUAAUACGGAGGAUGCGAGCGUUAUCCGGAUUUAUUGGGUUUAAAGGGUGCGUAGGCGGACGUUUAAGUCAGCGGUAAAAUUGAGAGGCUCAACCUCUUCGAGCCGUUGAAACUGGUUGUCUUGAGUGAGCGAGAGGUAUGCGGAAUGCGUGGUGUAGCGGUGAAAUGCAUAGAUAUCACGCAGAACUCCGAUUGCGAAGGCAGCAUACCGGCGCUCAACUGACGCUGAUGCACGAAAGUGUGGGGAUCGAACAGGAUUAGAUACCCUAGUAGUU
RNAcentral lists this ribosomal RNA (459 nucleotides) under uncultured bacterium. Its description in RNAcentral is "partial 16S ribosomal RNA". It matches the Rfam family "Bacterial small subunit ribosomal RNA", at positions 338 to 795 of the family's 1533-position model. The record is from RNAcentral.